This 427-nucleotide ribosomal RNA is filed under the name uncultured bacterium. RNAcentral describes it as "bacterial SSU rRNA". It matches the Rfam family "Bacterial small subunit ribosomal RNA", at positions 355 to 774 of the family's 1533-position model. The record is from RNAcentral.
UGGGGAAUUUUGGACAAUGGGCGAAAGCCUGAUCCAGCAAUGCCGCGUGCAGGAUGAAGGCCUUCGGGUUGUAAACUGCUUUUGUACGGAACGAAAAAGCUUCUCCUAAUACGAGAGGCCCAUGACGGUACCGUAAGAAUAAGCACCGGCUAACUACGUGCCAGCAGCCGCGGUAAUACGUAGGGUGCGAGCGUUAAUCGGAAUUACUGGGCGUAAAGCGUGCGCAGGCGGUUAUGUAAGACAGAUGUGAAAUCCCCGGGCUCAACCUGGGAACUGCAUUUGUGGCUGCAUGGCUAGAGUACGGUAGAGGGGGAUGGAAUUCCGCGUGUAGCAGUGAAAUGCGUAGAUAUGCGGAGGAACACCGAUGGCGAAGGCAAUCCCCUGGACCUGUACUGACGCUCAUGCACGAAAGCGUGGGGAGCAAACA